AACGAACGCUGGCGGCAUGCCUAACACAUGCAAGUCGAACGAGACCUUCGGGUCUAGUGGCGCACGGGUGCGUAACGCGUGGGAACCUGCCUUUAGGUUCGGAAUAACUCAGAGAAAUUUGAGCUAAUACCGGCUGAUGUCUUCGGACCAAAGAUUUAUCGCCGUUGGAUGGGCCCGCGUUGGCUUAGCUUGUGGGUGUGGUAACGGCCUAUCAAGGCUACGAUCCAUAGCUGGUCUGAGAGGAAGAGCAGCCACACUGGGGCUGAGACACGGCCCAGACUCCUGCGGGAGGGAGCAGAGGGGAAUACAGGACAAUGGGCGGAAGCAUGAUGCAGCAAUGGCGGGUGAGUGAUGAAGGACGGAGGGAAAUAAAGCUCGUUUAUCCGAGAGGAUAAUGACGGUAUCGGGAGAAUAAGCACCGGCUAACUCCGUG
This 433-nucleotide ribosomal RNA is filed under the name uncultured bacterium. RNAcentral describes it as "partial 16S ribosomal RNA". It matches the Rfam family "Bacterial small subunit ribosomal RNA", at positions 29 to 507 of the family's 1533-position model. The record is from RNAcentral.